This 259-nucleotide ribosomal RNA is filed under the name uncultured bacterium. RNAcentral's name for it is "partial 16S ribosomal RNA". It matches the Rfam family "Bacterial small subunit ribosomal RNA", at positions 95 to 354 of the family's 1533-position model. The record is from RNAcentral.
UUGGCGGACGGGUGAGUAACGCGUGGAUAACCUGCCGUAUGCAGGGGGAUACCAACUGGAAACAGUUGCUAAUACCGCAUAAGCGCACAGUACCGCAUGGUAUAGUGUGAAAAGAUUUAUCGGCAUACGAUGGAUCCGCGUCCGAUUAGCCAGUUGGCGGGGUAGAAGCCCACCAAAGCGACGAUCGGUAGCCGGCCUGAGAGGGCGGACGGCCACAUUGGGACUGAGACACGGCCCAAACUCCUACGGAAGGCAGCAG